CUUGGUCAUUUAGAGGAAGUAAAAGUCAUAACAAGGUAUCUGUAGGUGAACCUGCAGAUGGAUCAUUA
Molecule: ribosomal RNA, 68 nt
Filed under: Entyloma eschscholziae
Lineage: Eukaryota; Fungi; Basidiomycota; Exobasidiomycetes; Entylomatales; Entylomataceae
Description: partial 18S ribosomal RNA
Rfam family: Eukaryotic small subunit ribosomal RNA
Source: RNAcentral